Non-coding RNA from Aegilops tauschii subsp. strangulata, 221 nucleotides. NCBI's taxonomy places the organism in Eukaryota, Viridiplantae, Streptophyta, Magnoliopsida, Poales, Poaceae. The record is from RefSeq and is a predicted model, not a curated record.
CUUUCCUCUCCUCUCUGUUCUUCCCCUCAUGCUCGAGCUCAUCCUCCAUUUUUGCAAAAGUUUGUCAAGAUUUGAAGGCACCUCAUCCAUCCAAGUGUUCACAAAGGUGUGGUUUACUUAGUGCCUUCCCGUCCCCGUCAUAACCACUGUCGAUCGCCCGCACUGUCCCGUCGCCGACACCACCUUGUGGCAUGGUUUUGAUAUCGGUCCCCGUCGGCCCU